GGGUGCGAUCAUACCAGCAUUAAUGCACCGGAUCCUAUCAAAACUUCACAGUUAAGCGUGCUUGGGCGAGAAUAGUACUAGGAUGGGUGACCUCCCGGGAAGUCCUCGUGUCGCACCCC
Molecule: ribosomal RNA, 119 nt
Organism: Brassica oleracea var. oleracea
Lineage: Eukaryota; Viridiplantae; Streptophyta; Magnoliopsida; Brassicales; Brassicaceae
Source: Rfam